GACGAACGCUGGCGGCGUGCCUAAUACAUGCAAGUUGAGCGCUGAAGGUUGGUACUUGUACCAACUGGAUGAGCAGCGAACGGGUGAGUAACGCGUGGGGAAUCUGCCUUUGAGCGGGGGACAACAUUUGGAAACGAAUGCUAAUACCGCAUAAAAACUUUAAACACAAGUUUUAAGUUUGAAAGAUGCAAUUGCAUCACUCAAAGAUGAUCCCGCGUUGUAUUAGCUAGUUGGUGAGGUAAAGGCUCACCAAGGCGAUGAUACAUAGCCGACCUGAGAGGGUGAUCGGCCACCAUGGGACUGGGACACGGCCCAAACUCCUACGGGAGGCAGCAGGAGGGGAACUUCGGCAAUGGACGAAAGGCUGAACGAGCAACGCCGCGUGAGGGAAGAAGGGUUUCGGAUCGUAAAAAUCUGUUGGUAGAGAAGAACGUUGGUGAGAGUGGAAAGCUCAUCAAGUGACGGUAACUACCCAGAAAGGGACGGCUAACUACGUG
RNAcentral lists this ribosomal RNA (497 nucleotides) under uncultured bacterium. Its description in RNAcentral is "partial 16S ribosomal RNA". It matches the Rfam family "Bacterial small subunit ribosomal RNA", at positions 28 to 507 of the family's 1533-position model. The record is from RNAcentral.